This 497-nucleotide ribosomal RNA is filed under the name uncultured bacterium. RNAcentral describes it as "partial 16S ribosomal RNA". It matches the Rfam family "Bacterial small subunit ribosomal RNA", at positions 28 to 507 of the family's 1533-position model. The record is from RNAcentral.
GAUGAACGCUGGCGGCGUGCCUAAUACAUGCAAGUCGAGCGAACAGACGAGGCGCUUGCUCCUCUGACGUUAGCGGCGGACGGGUGAGUAACACGUGUAUAACCUACCUAUAAGACUGGGAUAACUUCGGGAAACCGGAGCUUAUACCGGAUAAUAUAUUGAACCGCAUGGUUCAAUAGUGAAAGACGGUUUUGCUGUCACUUAUAGAUGGAUCCGCGCCGCAUUAGCUAGUUGGUAAGGUAACGGCUUACCAAGGCAACUAUGCGUAGCCGACCUGAGAGGGUGAUCGGCCACACUGGAACUGAGACACGGUCCAGACUCCUACGGGAGGCAGCAGUAGGGAAUCUUCCGCAAUGGGCGAAAGCAUGACGGAGCAACGCCGCGUGAGUGAUGAAGGUCUUCGGAUCGUAAAACUCUGUUAUUAGGGAAGAACAAAUGUGUAAGUAACUAUGCACGUCUUGACGGUACCUAAUCAGAAAGCCACGGCUAACUACGUG